Molecule: ribosomal RNA, 433 nt
Filed under: uncultured bacterium
Lineage: Bacteria
Description: partial 16S ribosomal RNA
Rfam family: Bacterial small subunit ribosomal RNA
Source: RNAcentral
AACGAACGCUGGCGGCAUGCCUAACACAUGCAAGUCGAACGAGACCUUCGGGUCUAGUGGCGCACGGGUGCGUAACGCGUGGGAACCUGCCCUUAGGUUCGGAAUAACUCCCCGAAAGGGGUGCUAAUACCGGAUAAUGUCUUCGGACCAAAGAUUUAUCGCCUUUGGAUGGGCCCGCGUUGGAUCAGCUAGUUGGUAGGGUAAAAGCCUACCAAGGCGACGAUCCAUAGCUGGUCUGAGAGGAUGAUCAGCCACACUGGGACUGAGACACGGCCCAGACUCCUACGGGAGGCAGCAGUGGGGAAUAUUGGACAAUGGGCGAAAGCCUGAUCCAGCAAUGCCGCGUGAGUGAUGAAGGCCUUAGGGUUGUAAAGCUCUUUUACCCGGGAUGAUAAUGACAGUACCGGAAGAAUAAGCUCCGGCUAACUCCGUG